UAGCUAGUUGGUGAGGUAAAGGCUUACCAAGGCGACGAUCUGUAGCGGGUCUGAGAGGAUGAUCCGCCACACUGGAACUGAGACACGGUCCAGACUCCUACGGGAGGCAGCAGUGGGGAAUUUUGGACAAUGGGGGCAACCCUGAUCCAGCCAUGCCGCGUGAGUGAAGAAGGCCUUCGGGUUGUAAAGCUCUUUCGGCCGGGAAGAAAUCGCAUGGGCCAAUACUCUGUGUGGAUGACGGUACCGGAAUAAGAAGCACCGGCUAACUACGUGCCAGCAGCCGCGGUAAUACGUAGGGUGCGAGCGUUAAUCGGAAUUACUGGGCGUAAAGCGUGCGCAGGCGGUUUUGUAAGACAGGCGUGAAAUCCCCGGGCUUAACCUGGGAACUGCGUUUGUGACUGCAAGGCUAGAGUACGGCAGAGGGGGGUGGAAUUCCACGUGUAGCAGUGAAAUGCGUAGAGAUGUGGAGGAACACCAAUGGCGAAGGCAGCCCCCUGGGUCGAUACUGACGCUCAUGCACGAAAGCGUGGGUAGCAAACAGGAUUAGAUACCCUGGUAGUCCACGCCCUAAACUAUGUCAACUAGGUGUUGGGUGGGUAAAACCAUUUAGUACCGUAGCUAACGCGUGAAGUUGACCGCCUGGGGAGUACGGCCGCAAGGUUAAAACUCAAAGGAAUUGACGGGGACCCGCACAAGCGGUGGAUGAUGUGGAUUAAUUCGAUGCAACGCGAAAAACCUUACCUACCCUUGACAUGCCAGGAACUUGCCAGAGAUGGCUUGGUGCCCGAAAGGGAGCCUGGACACAGGUGCUGCAUGGCUGUCGUCAGCUCGUGUCGUGAGAUGUUGGGUUAAGUCCCGCAACGAGCGCAACCCUUGUCGUUAAUUGCCACCAUUUAGUUGGGCACUUUAACGAGACUGCCGGUGACAAACCGGAGGAAGGUGGGGAUGACGUCAAGUCCUCAUGGCCCUUAUGGGUAGGGCUUCACACGUCAUACAAUGGUCGGUACAAAGGGUUGCCAAGCCGCGAGGCGGAGCCAAUCCCAGAAAGCCGAUCGUAGUCCGGAUUGCAGGCUGCAACUCGCCUGCAUGAAGUCGGAAUCGCUAGUAAUCGUGGAUCAGCAUGUCACGGUGAAUACGUUCCCGGGUCUUGUACACACCGCCCGUCACACCAUGGGAGCGGGUUCCGCCAGAAGUAGGUAGCCUAACCGCAAGGGGGGCGCUUACCACGGCGGGGUUCGUGACUGGGGUGAAGUCGUAACAAGGUAGCCGUAGGGGAACCUGCGGCUG
RNAcentral lists this ribosomal RNA (1287 nucleotides) under metagenome. RNAcentral's name for it is "bacterial SSU rRNA". It matches the Rfam family "Bacterial small subunit ribosomal RNA", at positions 242 to 1520 of the family's 1533-position model. The record is from RNAcentral.